Molecule: long non-coding RNA, 1508 nt
Filed under: Salmo salar (Atlantic salmon)
Lineage: Eukaryota; Metazoa; Chordata; Actinopteri; Salmoniformes; Salmonidae
Description: lncRNA (ENSSSAG00000084608.1)
Source: RNAcentral
GGAGGAGAGGAGGAGAGAAAUAGUGACACUGUGGAGGAGAGGAGGAGAGAAAUAGUGACAGACUGGAGGAGAGGAGGAGAGAAAUAGUGACACUGUGGAGGAGAGGAGGAGAGAAUUAGUGACAGACUGGAGGAGAGGAGGAGAGAAAUAGUGACACUGUGGAGGAGAGGAGGAGAGAAAUAGUGACACUGUGGAGGAGAGGAGGAGAGAAAUAGUGACAGACUGGAGGAGAGGAGGAGAGAAAUAGUGACACUGUGGAGGAGAGGAGGAGAAAACAAGAGAGAAUGAAUGAGGAGAGAGAUGGGCAAAAACAGAGUGAGGACUUUCAGGAGGGGAAAGGAAGAACGAGAGGGGGAAGUAGAAUAAGAGAGGUAUUGAAGGAAGGAUGAACGCUCUUCAGAAGAUCCAGGGACGGACAGACCAGAUGUUGGGUGCUGUUGCUGAAAUGCUGACUUACUUGGCAUUGCCCAAUCAACUGUGGGACCUGAGCCCUAGGACCAUGCCUCAGGACUACCUUGUAUGAUGACUCCUUGCUGUCCCCAGUCCACCUGGCCGUGUUGCUGCUCCAGUUUCAACUGUUCUGCCUGCGGCUAUGGAACCCUGACCUGUUCACCGGACGUGCUUGUUGCACCCUCGACAACUACUAUGAUUAUUAUUAUUUGACCAUGCUGGUCAUUUAUGAACAUUUUAACAUUUUAACAUUUUGACCAUGUUCUGUUUUAAUAUCCACCCUGCACAGCCAGAAGAGGACUGGCCACCCCUCAUAGCCUGGUUCCUCUCUAGGUUUCUUCCUAGGUUUUUGGCCUUUCUAGGGAGUUUUUCCUAGGGAGUUUUUCCUAGCCACCGUGCUUCUUUCACAUGCUUUGCUUGCUGUUUGGGGUUUUAGGCUGGGUUUCUGUACAGCACUUUGAGAAUAUCAGCUGAUGUACGAAGGGCUAUAUAAAAAUAAAUUUGAUUUGAUUUGAUUUGAUUCUCUUGAUAAGAGUGUGAAUUAGACAAUUUUUGUGUCCUGCUAAGCAUUCAAAAUGUAACAAGUACUUUGGGGUGUCAUGGAAAACGUAUUGAGUAAAAAGUACAUCAUUUUCUUUAGGAAUGUGGUGAUGUAAAUGUUGUCAAAAAUAUUAAGGUGACUUUCCAUUUAAUAACAAUUAAGCAAGGUUUGGACAGCAAGUUUCCUUCAUCAGAUUGUGAACAGAGCGCGAGGCAACAGGGACAGCAAGUUGCCUUCAUCAGAUUGUGAACAGAGCACGAGGCAACAGGGACAGCAAGUUUCCUUCAUCACAUUGUGAACAGAGCACGAGGCAACAGGGACAGCAAGUUUCCUUCAUCAGAUUGUGAACAGAGCACGAGGCAACAGGGACAGCAGAGACCAGGGGCUUCCUCUCCUAACACAAAGUGGCUAUCUAUCUAUUCAGAUAAAUUAUUUCCUCCCCUAGAGAUGGUACAAAAAAAUACAUCAGUAAUUAUGAUCCCUCUCUCUUCCCCUCCCUCUUUCUCUCUCUCCCUCC